RNAcentral lists this ribosomal RNA (212 nucleotides) under uncultured bacterium. Its description in RNAcentral is "partial 16S ribosomal RNA". It matches the Rfam family "Bacterial small subunit ribosomal RNA", at positions 1288 to 1500 of the family's 1533-position model. The record is from RNAcentral.
UCAGUUCAGAUUGCAGGCUGCAACCCGCCUGCAUGAAGUCGGAAUUGCUAGUAAUCGCGGAUCAGCAUGCCGCGGUGAAUACGUUCCCGGGCCUUGUACACACCGCCCGUCACACCAUGGGAGCCGGUAAUACCCGAAGUCAGUAGUCCAACCUCGUGAGGACGCUGCCGAAGGUAGGAUUGGCGACUGGGGUGAAGUCGUAACAAGGUAAC